This 26-nucleotide non-coding RNA is filed under the name Homo sapiens (human). Lineage: Eukaryota; Metazoa; Chordata; Mammalia; Primates; Hominidae. The record is from RNAcentral.
UUUGGCUGCUGAUUGAAGGAAGAACU